CUCUGCUGUGCCAGAUGCCAGACUGGCAUCACCAACUCGGCUUCUCCAGGGGAGCAGCUGUUACACAGGGAGACAGUGACCCGCCAAGGCUCUCCAGCUGGUAGGCAACCGAGCUGGGACUCACAUCCCAGGCUAUCCUGGCCCUAGUGUGAACUUCCUCCCCUGUGUCAGCGCCGUCUGAGAUGCAGAGAUGGAAGCAAGGCUCCCGAUAUGAGUGUGGUUUUCAGGAAGGCUGGCUGGAUCCCGCCUGGGUAGGACAUUGAUGAGGACAGAGUCUUUCACCGAGGAAUGUUUUAAUAGCGAACAACACAAGGGCUUCUGGAGCCUGAGCGGUGGGAUUCCUUUUCGGCUAAUAGCAGGAAGAAAGAGCACUGUGUACAUCUCUCAUCAACCCGCUGCACGUGCAGAGUUCGGGAUCAUGUUCACAGCUCACAUGUUGUUCUGGCAGCCUGCAUGCAUUCCUCCCUGCUUCCCUCCCUUAAAGGAGCCAGGCACAGCAGAGUGGAACUUGAGCUCCACAAGAGAGUAAAACAUGAAAUGGCUAGUGGCCAUGCUUCUGGAAGUAUUGCCACUUCCUUUUCUAGAGAGUGGCUGAUGUCUGUCACUCAACACAUGUCGGAAGUCACUGGCAAACAUUCUUCAAGGAGCAUAUGUCUACCUCGGGAGAGAAAAAAAAAAAAAGAUGUGUACCUGAGAGAGUUAGACGUCGAGGCCAGAUCACGUGGAAUCAAGAGCUGAAGAUGCAUGCGAAGGUGUCUGAAUGGUUAAAGAGGAGCCUGGAGCUCGCUGGGAUGGGUAAGAGACGUCCCUGGAAGAAGGGGUCUCAGAAACUGGCCCGUAGAUGCAGUGCAGCUCUGAAAUAAUCUAAUACCAAAGAGAGGAAAUUGGAUAUUUGACACCGACUGUGGAAAAGCCUCAUUAGGGCAUGAAGAAGUCAAGGACUAUGGAUACCCCCUCUCUCUUUCUGUUGCUUCAUAUAUUAGACUUUACCUUUUCACUUCAGCUAGUAAGCUGUAAACUCACAGACUGGCCUCUCACACUUCACACCAUCCGUUGAGGGAACGCUUUAUACUCUCUGUCAUCUCUUGGAGAGGGGAAGGGAAUUGUAGUACUUACUGAAGAGAAAUGAGCGUUGAAAAGAAUGUGUUACGUUUCCUCCUAUUCCUUCCCUUUCUUCCCGACUGACUUGGCUGGAGAGCAUUAGAAGGGGCAGAGCAGGGUAAACAUCCGUGGUGCAGGACCAGAGAGUGAGCUUCCAUGUAUCAGGGCCAUAAAGGUUAGAUGGGCCCUACGUGUCAGUCAAGGCCUGGCAUGAGGGAUCAGUUCCCAUAGGGUGGAAGGCAUCUGAACAUACAGGUACGACAUGGAAGUGUCAGAGCCCAAGUCAGAUGACAAAGCCAUUCUUACAUGGAACACAUUGGUCCAUUUUGCUAUAAGGGAAUACCUGAGGCUGGUAAAUUUUAAAGAAAAGACAUUUACUUAGCUCGUGGUUCUGGAAGUCCAACUGCAUCAUCAUGGCUUUUCUGUUAAAAUCUGGGCUAGCUUUCUGGCUAGUCCCCAGUAUGGUGGACAGUAUAGUGGAUUCAUACCGAAAGCCAGAGAGUGUGGAGGUAUCAGUUUUUCUCUUUAGACUAGAACCCUCUAAGGAUUCCAUGAUAACUGCAUUAACCCCUCCCGAGAGCAUGAACCCAGUAAGCUAUUCACCUUUUACAAGACCUCAUCUCUUAAAUAUCCCAACUCUUCCUAAAUCCACCACAUUGUGACCAGGCUUCCAACACAUGACCCUUUGGGAUCAGGCCACAUCCAAACCAAGGCAAGGAGCAGGCAUCAGAGCCCAGGGAAGAGACUUUCUUAGCUGUGUGACCCCCCACUAUUGAACAACAGCAUUUUUUUUUUAAAUUUCUGCCUCUGCUUCAAUCCAUCAAAAGUUGAUUGUAUCUAUAUUUUUUAAAAAGCACAAAUUUACAAGCCUUUAGAACUGUUUUUGGAGAGAGGAUGGAACUAUUUAGAGUAUAUAGAGUAUAUAGAGUAUCAUGCAUGCCAGACUUCGAGAUAGUCUCUUUGCUAUAGGAAAGAAACGCCCCCCCCCAAAAAAAAAGAAAAAGAAAAAAAGAAAGAAAACACGCAGCUUUCCAGACACCCUCUAGAAUUUCAGGAAAUUGAGUUGACCAGAAUGAUCUGUGGAAUGUUCUAGCUUUACACAAAUCCACUGUGCAAACAUUUAGUGAUUACUAAGCACUGCAGGUGAGAUCCAUGUUCAGUGUUUGGUGGCCAUGACAAAAGCUUUCACCAUACAUGUACAUUUUUUUAGAGAGCCAACAUUAGUUACUUUUCUGUUGUUGGCUAAAGCAUGAUGACCUCACCAGCUUAUGGAACAAAGAGUUUAUCUGGGCUUAUAGCUCCAGUUUAAGCUUAUAGUUCCAGAGGGCUGAGUCCAUGAUGAAGGAGCAGAGGCAGGGCUACCAGAGUAGAUGUGGCAGCAAGGGCAGGAAGCUGAGAACUUCCUGAGGCUUUAAGGGCUCAAAGCCCACUCCCAGAAACAUGCUUCCUCCUGAACCUCCUCAAACAGAGCCACCAACUGGAGAACAUGUGUCCCAAUGGCCAAGACUUUGGGAGAUAUCAAUUAUUCAAACCACCAUGGAGGGCCUCACACAUGUAAGGCAAGUGCUAUGCCUCCCA
Molecule: long non-coding RNA, 2679 nt
Filed under: Cricetulus griseus (Chinese hamster)
Lineage: Eukaryota; Metazoa; Chordata; Mammalia; Rodentia; Cricetidae
Description: lncRNA (ENSCGRG00015031606.1)
Source: RNAcentral